This is an unclassified non-coding RNA of Sander lucioperca (pikeperch), 299 nucleotides long. It matches the Rfam family "Metazoan signal recognition particle RNA". Rfam says of the family: The signal recognition particle (SRP) is a universally conserved ribonucleoprotein. It is involved in the co-translational targeting of proteins to membranes. The record is from Ensembl. Lineage: Eukaryota; Metazoa; Chordata; Actinopteri; Perciformes; Percidae.
GCCGGGUGCGGUGGCGCGCACCUGUAAUCCAAGUUACCGGGAGGCUGAGGCUGGCGGAUCGUUUGAGCUCAGGAGUUCUGAGCUGCAGCGGACUAUGCCGAUCGGGUGUCCGCACUAAGUUCGGUAUCGAUAUGGUGCUCCUGGGGGAGCCCGGGACCCCCAGGUCGUCUAAGGAGGGGUACACCGGCCCAGGCCGGAGACGGAGCAGGCCAAAGCCCCCGUGCCAUUCAGUAGUGGGAUCGCGCCUGUGAAUAGACGCUGUAGAGCAGCCUGAGUAAUACAGCGGGACCCAGUCUUUU